CCUACGGUGUGCAGCAGUGAGGAAUAUUGGUCAAUGGCCGGAAGGCUGAACCCGCCAUGCCGCGUGAAGGUCAGUGCCCUAUGGGCGUUAAACUUCUUUUGUGCGGGAGCAAUAAUGGUCACGUGUGGCCAGACGAGAGUACCGUACGAAUAAGCAUCGGCUAACUCCGUGCCCGCCGCCGCGGUAAGCCGGGGGAUGCAAGCGUUAUCCGGGUUUAUUGGGUUUAAAGGGUGCGUAGGCGGGCCGGAAAGUCAGCGGUAAAAGCCCGGGGCUCAACCCCGGCGAGCCGUUGGAACUGUCGGACUAGAGAGGGCGAGAGGUACGCGGAAUGCGCGGUGUAGCGGUGAAAUGCAUAGAUAUCGCGCAGAACUCCGAUUGCGAAGGCAGCGUACCGGCGCCGGACUGACGCUGAGGCACGAAAGCGUGGGUAUCGAACAGGAUUAGAUACCCUGGUAGUC
Molecule: ribosomal RNA, 458 nt
Filed under: uncultured bacterium
Lineage: Bacteria
Description: partial 16S ribosomal RNA
Rfam family: Bacterial small subunit ribosomal RNA
Source: RNAcentral